AGCAGGAUAGGCUAUAGGAGGUACUUGACUGCAUGGAUGUGACUGGGACUUGGCUUCUCUUGCAGCAACUGGCUGAGUCCUGAUGUUUGGAUAUUUGUUGGCACUUGGUUACGGUGCCUGUUAAGAACUUGCAUGCAUUGAAGUGUCAGGGCUUUGUCAUUAGAGAGGCCUCUGUUGCUGGAUGAGAGCCCCUUGUAUAAUUUUGCUGACAGGCUUGCCCAAAGAAACCAAACAUUAGCAGCACAGAAAAGAAGUGCUUUGCCAGGUACAGAGGUUGUUAAUUGGCUGGUCUUGUGGGAGAUGCCAAGGGUUUCUUGGAGGGUAACGACUCUGGAAGCUUUUUCUAAAGCAAAGAAUCUCAAGUAAUUGCAUCAUGCAAUAUGCAAAGCACCUGACUGCAAGUGGGGGCUGCAGGUCACUGUUUGGCAGCUAGAGUCAGCUACAGACCUGCCAAUCCUUCUUGAUAAGGGGGUUGAAUAAUUAAAUUAUUUGAAGGGGCUGUUCAGCCUGGAGAAGAGAAGGCUGUGGGGUGACCUCAUUGCAGCUUUCCAGAACCUAAAGGGAGCUUAAAAAAAGGAGGGGAGUCAACUCUUUACAAGGGUAGAUAACAGCAGGACAAGGGGAAAUAGUUUUAAGCUGAAGGAGGGAAGAUUGAGGUUGGAUGUCAGGGGAAGUUCUUUACUCUGAGAGUGGUGAGGUGCUGGAACAGCUGCCCAGAGAGGCUGUGGAUGCCCCGUCCAUCCCUGGAGGUGUUCAAGGCCAGGUUGGAUGGGGCCCUGGGCAGCCUGGGCUGGUAUUACAUGUGGAGGUUGGUGGCCCUGCCUGUGGCGGGGGGG
This 836-nucleotide long non-coding RNA is filed under the name Gallus gallus (chicken). Its description in RNAcentral is "lncRNA (ENSGALG00010020247.1)". Lineage: Eukaryota; Metazoa; Chordata; Aves; Galliformes; Phasianidae. The record is from RNAcentral.